Molecule: ribosomal RNA, 633 nt
Filed under: uncultured bacterium
Lineage: Bacteria
Description: bacterial SSU rRNA
Rfam family: Bacterial small subunit ribosomal RNA
Source: RNAcentral
AAGCGUGGGGAGCGAACAGGAUUAGAUACCCUGGUAGUCCACGCCGUAAACGAUGAGUGCUAAGUGUUGGAGGGUUUCCGCCCUUCAGUGCUGCAGCAAACGCAUUAAGCACUCCGCCUGGGGAGUACGACCGCAAGGUUGAAACUCAAAGGAAUUGACGGGGGCCCGCACAAGCGGUGGAGCAUGUGGUUUAAUUCGAAGCAACGCGAAGAACCUUACCAGGUCUUGACAUCCUUUGACCACUCUAGAGAUAGAGCUUCCCCUUCGGGGGCAAAGUGACAGGUGGUGCAUGGUUGUCGUCAGCUCGUGUCGUGAGAUGUUGGGUUAAGUCCCGCAACGAGCGCAACCCUUAUUGUUAGUUGCCAUCAUUUAGUUGGGCACUCUAGCGAGACUGCCGGUGACAAACCGGAGGAAGGUGGGGAUGACGUCAAAUCAUCAUGCCCCUUAUGACCUGGGCUACACACGUGCUACAAUGGGAAGUACAACGAGUUGCGAAGUCGCGAGGCUAAGCUAAUCUCUUAAAGCUUCUCUCAGUUCGGAUUGUAGGCUGCAACUCGCCUACAUGAAGCCGGAAUCGCUAGUAAUCGCGGAUCAGCACGCCGCGGUGAAUACGUUCCCGGGCCUUGUACACAC